ACGGGUGAGUAACACGUAGACAACCUGCCGACAGGAUGGGGACAACAUUCCGAAAGGAAUGCUAAUACCGAAUGAAGUCAGAGAAGGGCAUCCUUUUCUGAUGAAAGAUGGCCUCUUUUUAUGCUAUCACCUGUUGAUGGGUCUGCGUCUGAUUAGCUGGUAGGUGAGGUAACGGCUCACCUAGGCGACGAUCAGUAGCCGGUCUGAGAGGAUGAACGGCCACAUUGGAACUGAGACACGGUCCAGACUCCUACGGGAGGCAGCAGUGGGGGAUAUUGCACAAUGGGCGAAAGCCUGAUGCAGCAACGCCGCGUGAAGGAAGAAGGCUUUCGAGUCGUAAACUUCUGUCCAAAGGGAAGAAAAGAUGACGGUACCUUUGAAGAAAGCCCCGGCUAACUACGUGCCAGCAGCCGCGGUAAUACGUAGGGGGCGAGCGUUAUCCGGAAUUACUGGGCGUAAAGAGUAUGUAGGUGGUUUAGCAAGCGUAGGGUUUAAGGCGACAGCCCAACUGUCGUAUGCCCCGCGAACUGUUAGACUUGAGUACAGGAGGGGAAGGCGGAAUUCCUAGUGUAGCGGUGAAAUGCGUAGAUAUUAGGAGGAACACCGGUGGCGAAAGCGGCCUUCUGGACUGUAACUGACACUGAGAUACGAAAGCGUGGGUAGCAAACAGGAUUAGAUACCCUGAUAGUCCA
This 692-nucleotide ribosomal RNA is filed under the name uncultured bacterium. RNAcentral's name for it is "bacterial SSU rRNA". It matches the Rfam family "Bacterial small subunit ribosomal RNA", at positions 102 to 797 of the family's 1533-position model. The record is from RNAcentral.